Molecule: ribosomal RNA, 304 nt
Filed under: unidentified
Description: Proceroplatus sp. 1 NB-2020 partial 16S ribosomal RNA
Source: RNAcentral
UUUUUUAAUUGAGAACUUGUAUGAAUGGUUGAAUGAGAUAUUAACUGUUUCAAAUAAAAAAGUAGAAUUUUAUUUUUUAGUAAAAAAGCUAAAAUAAAUUUAAAGGACGAGAAGACCCUAUAAAGUUUAAUAGUUUUAUAAUUAUAAUUUUUAAAAAAUAAUCUAAAUUUUAAUUUUAAAAAUAUUUUAUUGGGGAGAUAAUAAAAUUUAAUAAACUUUUAUAUUUUAUAAACAUAGAUUAAUGAAUUUAUGAUCCUUUAUUAAUGAUUAAAAAUUUAAAUUACUUUAGGGAUAACAGCGUAAU